Camelus ferus (Wild Bactrian camel) is the source of this 73-nucleotide transfer RNA. It matches the Rfam family "tRNA". Rfam says of the family: Transfer RNA (tRNA) molecules are approximately 80 nucleotides in length. Their secondary structure includes four short double-helical elements and three loops (D, anti-codon, and T loops). Further hydrogen bonds mediate the characteristic L-shaped molecular structure. tRNAs have two regions of fundamental functional importance: the anti-codon, which is responsible for specific mRNA codon recognition, and the 3' end, to which the tRNAs corresponding amino acid is attached (by aminoacyl-tRNA synthetases). tRNAs cope with the degeneracy of the genetic code in two manners: having more than one tRNA (with a specific anti-codon) for a particular amino acid; and 'wobble' base-pairing, i.e. permitting non-standard base-pairing at the 3rd anti-codon position. NCBI's taxonomy places the organism in Eukaryota, Metazoa, Chordata, Mammalia, Artiodactyla, Camelidae. The record is from Rfam.
GAGGAUAUAGCUCAAGUGGUAGAGUGUGUGCUUAGCAUGCACAAGGUCUUGGGUUUGAUCCCCGGUACCUCCU